This 510-nucleotide ribosomal RNA is filed under the name uncultured bacterium. Its description in RNAcentral is "bacterial SSU rRNA". It matches the Rfam family "Bacterial small subunit ribosomal RNA", at positions 8 to 518 of the family's 1533-position model. The record is from RNAcentral.
AGAGUUGAUCAUGGCUCGAGGACGAACGCUGGCGGCGUGCCUAACACAUGCAAGUCGAACGGAGUGAUUUGGAAGGUCUUCGGACCGGAAGACUUCACUUAGUGGCGAACGGGUGAGUAACGCGUGAGCAACCUGCCUUUCAGAGGGGGACAACGGUUGGAAACGACCGCUAAUACCGCAUAAUGCAAUCGAGCCGCAUGACUUGGUUGCCAAAGAUUAUAUCGCUGAAAGAUGGGCUCGCGUCUGAUUAGAUAGUUGGUGGGUAACGGCCUACCAAGUCGACGAUCAGUAGCCGGACUGAGAGAUUGAACGGCCACAUUGGGACUGAGAUACGGCCCAGACUCCUACGGGAGGCAGCAGUGGGGAAUAUUGGGCAAAGUGGGGGCAACCCUGACCCAGCAACGCCGCGUGAAGGAAGAAGGCUUUCGGGUUGUAAACUUCUUUACCAGGGACGAAGGACGUGACGGUACCUGGAGAAAAAGCCACGGCUAACUACGUGCCAGCAGCCGC